GCCCCUUUAGCUCAGUGGAUUAGAGCGUCUUGCCACGAACGAGAAGGUCAGAGGUUCUAAUCCUCCAAGGGCUCCA
RNAcentral lists this transfer RNA (76 nucleotides) under Candidatus Brocadiales bacterium. RNAcentral describes it as "tRNA-Arg". It matches the Rfam family "tRNA". From Rfam's summary of the family: Transfer RNA (tRNA) molecules are approximately 80 nucleotides in length. Their secondary structure includes four short double-helical elements and three loops (D, anti-codon, and T loops). Further hydrogen bonds mediate the characteristic L-shaped molecular structure. tRNAs have two regions of fundamental functional importance: the anti-codon, which is responsible for specific mRNA codon recognition, and the 3' end, to which the tRNAs corresponding amino acid is attached (by aminoacyl-tRNA synthetases). tRNAs cope with the degeneracy of the genetic code in two manners: having more than one tRNA (with a specific anti-codon) for a particular amino acid; and 'wobble' base-pairing, i.e. permitting non-standard base-pairing at the 3rd anti-codon position. The record is from RNAcentral. Lineage: Bacteria; Pseudomonadati; Planctomycetota; Candidatus Brocadiia; Candidatus Brocadiales.